Molecule: ribosomal RNA, 164 nt
Filed under: Phylica nigrita
Lineage: Eukaryota; Viridiplantae; Streptophyta; Magnoliopsida; Rosales; Rhamnaceae
Also listed under: 1 other name
Description: 5.8S ribosomal RNA
Rfam family: 5.8S ribosomal RNA
About the family: 5.8S ribosomal RNA (5.8S rRNA) is a component of the large subunit of the eukaryotic ribosome. It is transcribed by RNA polymerase I as part of the 45S precursor that also contains 18S and 28S rRNA.
Source: RNAcentral
AAAACGACUCUCGGCAACGGAUAUCUCGGCUCUCGCAUCGAUGAAGAACGUAGCGAAAUGCGAUACUUGGUGUGAAUUGCAGAAUCCCGUGAACCAUCGAGUCUUUGAACGCAAGUUGCGCCCGAAGCCACCAGGCCGAGGGCACGUCUGCCUGGGCGUCACAC